CAUUGAUGAUGUCACCAGUGUUUGAGCUUUUUACUGUGGUCAUGGUGGUGUGUUAGAAGUGGACCAUAUGUUGCUUGAGCUUAUGAUUUUAGUGAAGAAUUGGGUGUUCUGUUAUUGAGAAGACUUGUAUGUAAACUUAGAUUAACAUGAUUAAUUAAAUGCAUUAUAUAAAAGUUCAAUCUCUCAUUUAAUUAAAUCAAGGAAAUUGUCUUCUUCCUGAUAGACCUGGAGAGCAUUUUCAAAAAAUCCUAAUUAACAGGGACGAACUAUCAUCUAAUGGGGCGAAUUGGUACCUUCUGAAACAUAAGUCAUGGUUUCUCUUCCCUUUCUCAAUUUAACCCUUGCUAAAAUUUUACAGAGCAUGCUGAAAGAAGUUUGGUCAAUUAUGUCUUUGUAACCCUCAAAAGACGGCUUGAAAGUGCUAUUUGUUUGGAAAAAAAUGUAGUAUAAUCACGAAUUUAGAUUGCUAAUCAGACAAAACACAACACCUUUGACUGAAGUGAAGGGGCUCCUGUUGGGAUCAUGGAAAUUAUGUUGGUGUUAUUGAAGCAAUUUGUAGACUGUGUAGAGAAAAACUAUUUGGAAAUAACAGUAUUGAGCAUGUUGAGGAGGAGAACACUAUUGAGACAAAUACAAAGAACAAGAUUGCAGAAGCUGAAAUACUACCACCUUAAAGAAAGAGGGCACUUGAUAAAGUACCAGGGAAGCGUUACAGGGUGAAGGUUGUUGACACAAUCCUUGAUUUAGAUGUAACCAAGAAUAAAGAAACAAUAACCAAUAUUACAAGUUUUUACAACUUUAGAUUUGAGAGCAGUCAUUUGAGGAUGUGGCAAACAUACAAUAUUGAUGAAGGAAAGCUUGUGACUUUAAAAUCAACAAAGAAUUCUGUGCAGUUAAAAGUACUCAAUGACUGGACAGAGAUGUCUUUUAAUGACCUCAUUACUGAAGGAACAGAACAGGCUUCAAAACAACAGAAGCAGACAUUCAUUUGUUCUAUGGAUGGCUGCAUUAAAGAGUUCAAGAACCAGAUUAGUCUUGAUCAACACCUCCUUCAAGGCAGCUGUGAAUAUAAGCUAGAGAAAGGCCCAUUAAAAGAUCAGGCAAAAGUUCUAUAUGCCCAAAAGCUGUCAAAUAAUGUACAUCAUUGUCCUGAUAUGCAAGCAGUCUUACUAGAAAAUGCAUGUACUACAGACUUGAGUGCCAAAGAAAUGUGAUGGGCAUUGAAAGUGAAAAAGAAAAAGAUUUUCUUUAGCAUCAAACAGAAAGAAUUCAUGACAGAUUUAUUUUAUUUAUCUUGAAAGGAUGCAAGAAGCAGCCAUAUUGGAUUCAACGACAUUAUAUUUUCCCAAUAAACAGGCGAAAUAGAAAAAAAAACGCCUACCUUAAACUACUUUUUAAUAGCUUAUAUCCAAAUUUGAAGCAUAAACAAAGCCCCAAAACAUACUAUAUGUUACAGUUUUACACUUGAAGUAUUCAUAUGACGUCAUGAUGUUGCUAUGAAGUUUAUGUGCCAAAGAAGUCAACAACAUUUUGUGGAAUUUUUAUUUUAAGCAACUAUAUGUCCAAAUAAAAAACAGAAACAAUAUCUUUAUUGACUAUUGCAUUAGAAUGGAUAUAACUGUAUUGUAUUUUAAGGUUUGUGGACGUAAAUCUAGAUUUUACUGUUGCAAUUAUCCGUUUACCUAGCUCUGCUACAGGUCGCUAGGUAAACUCAAUUUGCGACAGUAAUAACUACGUUUUAUGUCCGAAAAGGUUAAAAUACAAUACAGUUAUCUCCUAAAUUACCUACACAUGAUUGCACCAAUAUGAGUUUAAUAUAAUGAAACUUGCAUGUACUUAGAAGGUGUUUUAUUCUUAUUUUAAAUGUUUAAGUCGGACCAGCAUUUUACCCACAUUGCUUUAUAAAUAGCAAACUUUGUUGAUCUGUAUCAGUUAAAAACUAAUAUGCACAAUCAGUUCUUUCUUCCCUCUGUAUUCAAUUACAAAAUUAAAUCUUUAAAAAUGUAAAGAUACAUACUUAAUUUUAGAAAGAAAAAAAAAUUGUAAAAUUUUCGAAAUUCGGUUACCAUAGCAACCAUUUUUAUUAAAUUUCAUUAAACAAAACU
Mytilus californianus (California mussel) is the source of this 2105-nucleotide long non-coding RNA. RefSeq lists it as uncharacterized. The record is from RefSeq and is a predicted model, not a curated record. Lineage: Eukaryota; Metazoa; Mollusca; Bivalvia; Mytilida; Mytilidae. The transcript is spliced from 6 exons.